Long non-coding RNA from Pipistrellus kuhlii (Kuhl's pipistrelle), 189 nucleotides. RefSeq lists it as uncharacterized. The record is from RefSeq and is a predicted model, not a curated record. NCBI's taxonomy places the organism in Eukaryota, Metazoa, Chordata, Mammalia, Chiroptera, Vespertilionidae. The transcript is spliced from 2 exons.
GCGGGGGACAAGCCCACACUGCUUGCUACUGUUGAAUUCCUGGCACACAGCUGUGUGUUGUUUUUUUGGGGGGGUGAGAGGGCUUAUUUGUUUUCCCAAUUACAGUUAGCAUUCAGUUUUGUCUUAGUUCCUGGGGGGAAUGAUAUCUUAAGUCCACUCUUGCCUUAGAACCAACAUGAGCAUAAGAAU